GUUUGGUUAAGUUAGAAAGGGCGCACGGUGGAUGCCUUGACACUAGGAGUCGAUGAAGGACGGGACUAACGCCGAUAUGCUUCGGGGAGCUGUAAGUAAGCUUUGAUCCGAAGAUUUCCGAAUGGGGAAACCCACCAUACGUAAUGGUAUGGUAUCCUUAUCUGAAUACAUAGGGUAAGGAAGACAGACCCAGGGAACUGAAACAUCUAAGUACCUGGAGGAAGAGAAAGCAAAUGCGAUUUCCUGAGUAGCGGCGAGCGAAACGGAACAUAGCCCAAACCAAGAGGCUUGCCUCUUGGGGUUGUAGGACAUUCUAUACGGAGUUACAAAGGAACGAGGUAGACGAAGCGACCUGGAAAGGUCCGUCGUAGAGGGUAACAACCCCGUAGUCGAAACUUCGUUCUCUCUUGAAUGUAUCCUGAGUACGGCGGAACACGUGAAAUUCCGUCGGAAUCUGGGAGGACCAUCUCCCAAGGCUAAAUACUCCCUAGUGAUCGAUAGUGAACCAGUACCGUGAGGGAAAGGUGAAAAGCACCCCGGAAGGGGAGUGAAAGAGAUCCUGAAACCGUGUGCCUACAAAUAGUCAGAGCCCGUUAACGGG
Molecule: ribosomal RNA, 601 nt
Filed under: Bacillus thuringiensis
Lineage: Bacteria; Bacillati; Bacillota; Bacilli; Caryophanales; Bacillaceae
Also listed under: 1 other name
Description: partial 23S ribosomal RNA
Rfam family: Bacterial large subunit ribosomal RNA
Source: RNAcentral